AGACAGGAAGCAUAAUUGUGCAGUGAGCUUAGGCCUCACAGGUGGAGGACUAGCCUUCCCUGGCUA
RNAcentral lists this transfer RNA (66 nucleotides) under Actornithophilus hoplopteri. RNAcentral describes it as "tRNA-Leu". Lineage: Eukaryota; Metazoa; Arthropoda; Insecta; Psocodea; Menoponidae. The record is from RNAcentral.